CUAGAAUUUUGCUAUAGUUCAGUUCUAUGGGUUCAGUAAGUACCUACAUGGGCGUUAUUGCAACUUUUAUUUAGCUACCCAGGGGAUAAUAUUGUACAAUUAUGGGCACAUAAAUACAGCUCUCUGAAUUGAACUUCUCACUCCCAUUUUUUACCUUGCGGUUCAAAUAUCUAGAGGCCAAAUAAAGUGCCAGCAGCCGCGGUCAGACUUUACCUUAGUCAUAGAAAAUAUCAGAGGACGGAUAGCAGUAUGUCAUAAUAUAUAUAUAUUAAUCACAGGUUUAUAAAUACGACCAGUGAAAUGGCGUACCCUUGUUUUCAUUUCUCUGUGUAAUAAUAAUUAAACUUAGCUAUUUUAACCUCCUAAAACAAACCAGGAUUAGAUACCCUGUUAUGAGGAGUCAGACUAUUUACAAUCUCUUAGUAAUACAAUCUUUAAAUUUAAACUAAAACAGCAUGGCGGUAAAAGUUAACCCUCAGGGGAACUUACACAAUAAAUGAUAAUCCCCAAGCUAUUCCUACCUUUAUUUAAAGUUUGUAUGCCGUCGUCUUCUGGUCUUUUUUUAUCAAAAGGCCAAGAGCCAUUUGUUGGUAUUACUAUUACCUCUAAAUGGAGAAAGUCAGAUCAAGGUGCAGCCUAUAUAGAGGUUGUAUGUGAGUUACACUUAAUAUUCACUAAAUUUGAACGCUAUCAUUAAAUCAUGAAGCAGAAAUUGGACUUGAAAGUAAAUACUAAAUAGACUUUAAUUUUUGAAUACAUUUUUAACUUUUGUGCACAAAUCGCCCGUCACUCUCAUGGACAACACGAGAUAAGUCGUAACAUAGUAGGGGUAAGGGAACUUGCCCCUCACUCAUA
Molecule: ribosomal RNA, 855 nt
Filed under: Cerion watlingense
Lineage: Eukaryota; Metazoa; Mollusca; Gastropoda; Stylommatophora; Cerionidae
Description: 12S ribosomal RNA
Source: RNAcentral